UGAUGGAGCGAUUUGUCUGGUUAAUUCUGAUAACGAACGAGACUCUAGCCUAUUAAAUAGUUCGUUGAUCACGCAUGUCGGCGUAAACUUCUUAGAGGGACUAGUGGCGUUUAGCCACACGAGAUUGAGCAAUAACA
RNAcentral lists this ribosomal RNA (137 nucleotides) under uncultured eukaryote. RNAcentral describes it as "partial 18S ribosomal RNA". It matches the Rfam family "Eukaryotic small subunit ribosomal RNA", at positions 1299 to 1458 of the family's 1831-position model. The record is from RNAcentral.